Molecule: transfer RNA, 67 nt
Filed under: Caenis sp. JYZ-2020
Lineage: Eukaryota; Metazoa; Arthropoda; Insecta; Ephemeroptera; Caenidae
Description: tRNA-Ser
Source: RNAcentral
GAAAUAUAAAGAUAAUAAAAGGGGCUGCUAACUUCUUUUAUAGCAGUUAAAUUCUGUUAAUAUUUCU